UUUAAUUCCGGUUGAUCCUGCCGGACCCGACUGCUAUUUGGGUGAGGAUAAGCCAUGCAAGUCGAAUGGGAUACCUAAAUUUCCCAUGGCGAACUGCUCAGUAACACAUGAUCAACUUGCCCUAUAGAGAGAAAUAACCUCGGGAAACUGAGGAUAAUUUUUCAUAGUUGAAUUGGCUUGGAAAAGUUUUUCAAUAAAAAGGAUAAAGAGAAUGGUCUUUAUUCGCUAUAGGAUAGGAUCGUGUUCGAUUAUGGUAGUUGGUGAGGUAAAGGCUCACCAAGCCGAUAAUCGAUAGGGGCCGUGAGAGCGGGAGCCCCGAGAUGGGUACUGAGACAACGACCCAGGCCUUACGAGGCGCAGCAGGCGCGAAACCUCCACAAGACACGAAAGUGUGAUGGGGUUACCCAAAGUGUUCAUUAUUGAACUGUGGUAGGUGAGUAAUGUUCCCUACUAGAAAGGAGAGGGCAAGGCUGGUGCCAGCCGCCGCGGUAAAACCAGCUCUUCAAGUGGUCGGGAUAAUUAUUGGGCUUAAAGUGUCCGUAGCCGGUUUAGUAAGUUCCUGGUAAAAUCGGGUAGCUUAACUAUCUGCAUGCUAGGAAUACUGCUAUACUAGAGGGCGGGAGAAGUCUGAGGUACUACAGGGGUAGGGGUGAAAUCUUAUAAUCCUUGUAGGACCACCAGUGGCGAAGGCGUCAGACUGGAACGCGCCUGACGGUGAGGGACGAAAGCCAGGGGAGCGAACCGGAUUAGAUACCCGGGUAGUCCUGG
RNAcentral lists this ribosomal RNA (768 nucleotides) under Promethearchaeota archaeon. RNAcentral's name for it is "bacterial SSU rRNA". It matches the Rfam family "Archaeal small subunit ribosomal RNA", at positions 1 to 750 of the family's 1478-position model. Lineage: Archaea; Promethearchaeati; Promethearchaeota. The record is from RNAcentral.